RNAcentral lists this ribosomal RNA (759 nucleotides) under Triticum aestivum (bread wheat). RNAcentral's name for it is "partial small subunit ribosomal RNA". The record is from RNAcentral. Lineage: Eukaryota; Viridiplantae; Streptophyta; Magnoliopsida; Poales; Poaceae.
AUGGAGUCUGACGCGACCCAUGCACCCGCCACCUCCUCUUCCUCCUCCUACUCUUCCGACUCAGCCGUCAUCAAUGGCGUACAGGACGUGUCCAAGAGUGAGCCCAAGCAUCUGAAGCGCAAGAGACAGACCGCCACCUCUCCUGUUGCUCCAGCCACCGGCAGCCAAGAGACGGAGGGUGCCGACGGCGCCGCCCGGGCCGAGGAGAGCAGCAGCUGCGCCGCCGGGGAGGAGCGCACGGCCGGAAGGCACCCGUCGUACCGCGGCGUGCGUCGCCGGAGCUGGGGCAAGUGGGUGUCGGAGAUCCGAGAGCCGCGCAAGAAGUCGCGCAUCUGGCUCGGCACCUUCCCGACCGCGGAGAUGGCCGCGCGCGCGCACGACGUGGCCGCGGUCGCCAUCAAGGGCCGCCGCGCGCACCUCAACUUCCCGCACCUCGCCGACGCGCUCCCACGUCCGGCCUCCACUUCCCCCGCCGACAUCCAGGCCGCGGCCGCCCUGGCCGCUGCCCAAUGCGAGCCUUCCUCCUCCGUCGCCGAGACCACGGAGACGCCGACGACAUCGACGGAGACAUCGGCCGCAAGCUCCGGUACGGCCGUUAGCGGCGAGGAGAACGCUCUGUUCGACCUGCCCGACCUUCUGCUCGACCUGAGGGACGGCCUCUGGUGCUCGCGUACCUGGGCGACGGCCGCCGACGACUACGACGGCGGCGAAGCCGCGCUGCACGAGCCGCUCCUGUGGGUGGAGCAGUGCUGGACCUAG